This is a long non-coding RNA of Sapajus apella (tufted capuchin), 4666 nucleotides long. RefSeq lists it as uncharacterized. Lineage: Eukaryota; Metazoa; Chordata; Mammalia; Primates; Cebidae. The transcript is spliced from 3 exons. The record is from RefSeq and is a predicted model, not a curated record.
CCCUCUUCCCUCCUCCCUCCUCCCCUCCUCCCUUACCCCGAUCCGCAUAGCAGACAGUAAGCAAGCAAGCUAUGUCCUGGCCUGUGACACAGCAGUGAUGGGGACUGCUGACCUGGUUCAGGAGUUGGAGUCCAGUGAUGAUGUCUGCCAGGGCGAAGGGGGACUGUGGGGUUGCCCGGUGUGGAGGGCACACCAGGAAAGAGGGAGCUUGCCUGAGCUGGGGGCACAAAAGGAGCCCAUGAGUAGAGGUGGACGGGAGAGUGGGGAGAGGGGGCUCCCAGGCAGGACCAAGCCCCUGACCUGGCACUGCCUCUGAUGACUUCCUAGGGUCGUGCCGUCGAGGGAGGCGGUGGGGAGCAGUGGCAGCCAGGUGGUCUCCCAGCUGGUGUGGCAUCAGGGGUGGCAUGCAGUCGGGGCACCAGCUCUGGCUGUGUCAGCCGCUGCAGCCCGGCCCCUGCCGGUGGAGCCCGGGCCAGAGCCUUGUCUGAUGUUGCUCGGAGCCCGUGCCUUCCUCAGGCCCACGGGGACGGGACGAGGCUCUCUCCCACUGCACCCCCACACACUCCUCACCUCUGUCGAGCCUGUGCUUGGCACCUGGCAAGCCCACCACCCCAGCCCCUAUGUCUAAGUCCUUGGUGGGCUUCACAAUCCAGCUGCAGCGGCCCCUCCUCCAUGCAGCCUUCCUGACUCUGCCCACCUCCUUCUCCCCUGCCCAGCUGUAGGAUCUCUCCCUCUGUGUGGACCUACUGCGCAUUUGCCCCCAGGCCAGGUUUCGCCCUCUCGAGAGCAACAUCAGGCUUCCCAGUUGUGUAUUUCCCCACAGGACAGAGCCCAAGAGCAGAGCUCAGUCAGGCCAGGAGCGGGGAGCUGGGAGGGUGGGGCCAGCAGUGACCAGGGCUCAGGCUGGAGGUGGAGAGGCUGUAGGGCAGGUGAGGCUGUGGCCCCCGGGUGCCUGGCCCAGCUCUUCCAGUUGGCCCUGUGUGGAUGCCAGCGUCCAGCUUCCAUCCCACAGACUGGCUUGGGCCGCGUGUGUUCCCUGCUCUGUGUUCUGGUGGUAGGGCUCUCGGGCUGUGUGGCGGGUGGUGCCGCGUGACUGUGUUGGGUCCCCUCCAGACCCUGUGGACCGUGUCUCUGAGGUGGGGGUUCAGGCAUGAUCCCCUGCUCUUAGUGGUGCCUUCAGCCACGGGCGAAGAGGGCCUGCCCUGGCUGCCAUCCGUGGCCUCACCGUGUUAGAGCACCUGUGUUUCUGUUGAAGCUUUGAGCAUGGGCCUUACUGUUCAGAUUCUCCACAGAGGCAUUUGCCCUGUGGUGCCUGCCUUGCCUGUCAGCUUGCUGGGUGACUUGAAGGAGGGCCGGGCACUGCCAUCUCAGCGGCGUGCACACACCCUGAGGGGCCCUUUGCAGCAGGCUUGUUUCACGGUCAGGUGCAGAAUAGCCGAGCCGAGCAGCAGCCUCACUGCAGCCUUGGAGGGAGCGGGUGGAGCCCCAGCCGCCUGCCUCGGUUCCCGGACGCAGGUCUGUGGCCGAGCCAGGGCCUGAGAACGCGGCCCACAGCACGUGCGUUGUCUUUCUCAACAAGACACUCUCAGCAAGCGCUCAGGGCUCCCCAUGCGGGCGCCGUUUGAGCCCCAAGCCCUCUCUGCCCCGAGCUGAAGGCGGGGUGGUCCUUCUUUCUCGGCCCCAGCAGAGGGCAGCCUCAGUCCGAGGCUGGAGGAGGGAGCCACCAGAGAGGCCUCCUGGGCGCCGCUGCCCCGCUUCCUGGUCGGCUUUGGGGGGAGCUGCUGACCAGCCUUGUCCUGAGAGGGCACCGUUCAUAACCCACCUCGGGCACUCUGUGGCAGUGCAGCCUGACCCCUGCAGCCGCCUCUUUCUUCAAAAGUGGGUUCCCUGAGCACAGCAGUCAGAGGAGGGGCUGAGGAACCAGGAGCAGAGGUGGGGGUGGGACCGCCUUGCCGGGAGGAGGGGCAGAGGCGAGGGUUGGGUGCCCAGGCCCUGUCCUGGCUGUUGGUGGUGGGGCCUGGGAAGGGCCCAUCCCUGCCCUGGGCCUGGGUCCCCAGCUGUGGAACGGUGGGAUGCGGAGCGCCUGCGGGAUAUCCGGGCAGCUGCUGAUGGCAAAGCUCCGUCCAGGCUCACUCGAGGCUCUGCCCCUGGGGCUGCCCCCAUCCCAGCGUUUCUGCUUCAGGGCGUCUGGGCUGGGGCUGAGAAUCUGUAUUUCUAGCAGGUUCCCACACCGGGCUGCAUGUUUCCUCUUGUGCUGAUUCGGAAGGUUUUGUAGCUGUCACGUGGGGUGGAGCGAGGGGGGCUUCAGGAGACGGGGCCUGGAGCAACCUCGUGCCUGCUCCUGGAGUGGGGGUCCUGGCGUGGUCUCCAAGGCCCUCUCAGCCCACAUCCUGCAGCGUGAUCUUGGUCACGUCUCAGCCUUCCUGGGUCUUGGUUUCCGGCUGUGUGAUGGUGGGGCACCCGUCGGUGGUUCCCAUGCUGUGCCUGCAAGCUCGGGGGGUCCCAGCUGGCGGUGUGGGUCCCGUGUGGGUGAGCUGGUGCUAUGCCAGCCUGCUCCACCCCAAUCCACCAGCCGCUGUCCCCUCUGAUCUCACUUGGGGUCUGGGUAAGACCUGUCCUCCCUUUGUAGAGGUAUGAGGGGCACAGGGGGACCAAGGAGUGUUGCCAAGGACCCUCCUGGCCCUGGAUUCCAGGGUCUGCUGCCCGUGACCAGGUGGAGCAAGGCAGGCUGUGGGCCAAGGGCUGGUUGAGAGGCCUGGCUGUAGCCCUGUAGGGCAGAGUGGGCAGCCUCCGGGGCACGCCAGUGGUUUGGAAAUGACCCAGGGGCAGCACAUUAGCUGUGCCCAUGUCAGACCCUGGUCCAACUGGCAAUCUUGACACCUGGAGGAUGGGACGGGGGUCUGGGAAGGCCCCUUCCCUGCUGUGCACACAGCCCUGUAAGGCCCCUCCCACCAUUCUCUCCCCAGCUCACAUGGGAGACUCCACCACAGUCAGGUUCUCAGAGAGAUUCUAGUCCACUGGGGUCUGAGCAGGGCAAAGCCACACACUGCCUGCACUGAGAAGACCUCAGCUAGGACUCCCAAAGGGGCCAUUGUGGGCCUUGUGUGGAAGUGGGUUUGUAUUCCACUUACUGCCCCAGGCCUGGCUCCAGCAGAGCCCACUGGUCCUGAGGAGCGGCCCCUCCCUGCCUGGCCUUGGGGCCCUGCCUGCCUCACUGGACUCACUUCUUUGCUGUGUCCCACUUGGGGGCCAAGGAGCCCCAGGAUGGGGCAGGGACGUACUCCUGAUGACCAAGGAGUGCCUGGGCUGGGAGGACCCAGUGCUUUCUGAAGGGCGCACGGAAGGGAGUGGGUGCUGAUGCUGGUCCUGAUCCUGGGGCCAGGGGGUGAGGGGUGGGCGGGCUGUGUCUGCACACACACAGACGGAAGAGAAGGAAGGGGAGCAGAAGCAAGCUGAGGCCCUUUAGAGACUUUAGAGGCGGGAGACCGAGGGUCCAGCACGGGGCCGAAGGGUUGGGCCCACCAGGGACAAGGCUGAUGGGACCCAGUACAUAGCGGUCAUGAGGAUGUUAGCGAUGCUAGCGUGUGCUAGAUAGUGACGUGUACCCAGUAUAGUGACGCUGACAUGUACCAGAUAGUGAUGCUAACAUGUACCAGAUAGUGAUGCUGACCUGUGCCAGAUAGUGGUACUGAUGUGUACCAGAUAGUGACGUGUACCAGAUAGUGAUGCUGACGUGUACCAGAUAGUGACAUGUACCAGAUAGUGACGCUGAUGUGUACCAGAUAGUGGUGCUGAUGUACCAAAUAGUGACAUGUACCAGAUCGUGACGCUGACGUGUACCAGAUCAUGACGCUGAUGUUUACCAGACCUUGACGCUGACAUGUGCCAGAUAAUGAUGCUGAUGUGUACCAGAUAAUGACACGUACCAGAUAGUGACACUGAUGUGUAGCAGAUAAUGAUGCUGACGUGUACCAGAUAGCGAUGCUGAAAUGUACCAGAUGGCGGUGCUGACGUGUACCAGAUAGCGGUGCUGACGUGUACCAGAUGGCGGUGCUGACGUGUACCAGAUAGUGGUGCUGACGUGUACCAGAUAGUGGUGCUGACGUGUACCAGAUAGUGACGCUGACGUGUGCCAGCUCCAGGCCCUGUUCUCAUCACAUUCAAGUAUUAGCUCAUUUAAUCUGCAGAACAUCUUGAGUUAGGGCCAAUACUACCCCAUGGUACUGACAAGGAAACGGGGCCCAAAGCUGUCAGUGACAUCCUGAGGCCCCGCAGCUGUGAAGUGGCUCUGAGGCACUUGUUCCAGGCCAGGCUGCAGUGGCUCCAGCCCUGGCCAGCAGGCCUGACCCUCCACAGGACCCCAGAAUGUUUCAGGAAAGGGGAAAUCCCUCCCGGCCUUUGUCUUGGCUUCCAGGCCAUCUGCCUGGUCCGGCUGAGGACAGACGCAAGGCUCUCACAGCAGACCCCAGGGAGGGGAGUGUCUGCAGGGCUAGGGCCAGGGUGCUCCACAUGGGCUCGCACCCCAGCCCUGUGUGCAGCAAGAGCCUGGGGCCGUGAGCCCCAGCGUGCACCUGUCACGCUCCUCAGUUAUCUGCCCUGGGCCCUGUGCUGUGCUUGUUCUGACGUCUCCAUUUCUUCUGUGUGUGUAUGUAUGUGUCCUGGCUGC